Molecule: transfer RNA, 71 nt
Filed under: Chelonia mydas (Green sea turtle)
Lineage: Eukaryota; Metazoa; Chordata; Testudines; Cheloniidae
Rfam family: tRNA
About the family: Transfer RNA (tRNA) molecules are approximately 80 nucleotides in length.
Source: Rfam by way of RNAcentral
GGCAGCAUGGUCCUGUAGAUAGGGCAUUUGACUUAGACACAAGAAACUUGGGUUUGGUUCCCAUUCUGCUA